UAGGGAAUCUUCCGCAAUGGGCGAAAGCCUGACGGAGCAACGCCGCGUGAGUGAUGAAGGUCUUCGGAUCGUAAAACUCUGUUAUUAGGGAAGAACAAAUGUGUAAGUAACUAUGCACGUCUUGACGGUACCUAAUCAGAAAGCCACGGCUAACUACGUGCCAGCAGCCGCGGUAAUACGUAGGUGGCAAGCGAUAUCCGGAAUUAUUGGGCGUAAAGCGCGCGUAGGCGGUUUUUUAAGUCUGAUGUGAAAGCCCACGGCUCAACCGUGGAGGGUCAGUGGAAACUGGAAAACUUGAGUGCAGAAGAGGAAAGUGGAAUUCCAUGUGUAGCGGUGAAAUGCGCAGAGAUAUGGAGGAACACCAGUGGCGAAGGCGACUUUCUGGUCUGUAACUGACGCUGAUGUGCGAAAGCGUGGGGAUCAAACAGG
Molecule: ribosomal RNA, 429 nt
Filed under: Actinomycetes bacterium
Lineage: Bacteria; Bacillati; Actinomycetota; Actinomycetes
Description: Actinobacteria bacterium partial 16S ribosomal RNA
Rfam family: Bacterial small subunit ribosomal RNA
Source: RNAcentral